Long non-coding RNA from Tympanuchus pallidicinctus (lesser prairie-chicken), 12132 nucleotides. RefSeq lists it as uncharacterized. The record is from RefSeq and is a predicted model, not a curated record. NCBI's taxonomy places the organism in Eukaryota, Metazoa, Chordata, Aves, Galliformes, Phasianidae. The transcript has 2 exons.
CUUCACUCUGUUAUCAAUUAGAAAUGUUUUACAGCUCAAGUACAAGAUCAGUCAACCAAGAGACUUGGUAAAUAUGUUAUUUAUACAGUUAUUUGUUAAAAUGAGCUUCAUUGCAUUACAGAAUGUUAAGACAAAUUGUUGUGCCCUUUAGAUUCAUUAUAGAUGACAAAAUACUAGAUAAAUCUUAAACAGGUGUUCACCUUUCAUCACACAGGAACAUAAAUGGUUAGAUCUUAUCAACAGGGGAGUCUUUUUAAUCUUCUUUCUUUAUUAAGCACGGGGGAAAAAAAGAUUGCUUAUUUUUCCUUCCUUUGUCUUUAAAAAGUCCUGUAGUCAUAGGGGAGAGGAGACUGGGGUUGCUAAAGCACAUCCCAUUUCAUAUAAGGCUCAAAUCAAUCUCUACUGAAGGAAAGCCUAACUAGCUUUACCAAUUCUGGCCUGCCAGGUACUAUCUCACAGAGAGCCAUUAGUAAAGUGUCAAAGGCUGUUUUUUACAACAGUACUUUAUUGUUCACGAGCAAGGAGUGCAUUAGCUUAUCAUCUGGUCUUGUAACUUCUUGCUUCACUGUGUUGCUACAGACAAAAAAAAAAAAAAGAUAGGACAUAAAUGUCAUCUUCUGUGUCAUUAACACAAAAUCUAUUAGAAUUUUAUUAGAAAAUAACUACUAAGACAGUACAGCUACAUUUACUCCCUUACACUGUGCUAAAUUGCUUGUGAAAAUGAUAUAUUAUGAUUCUUACACAGCAACCAUUGAAAAACAUGGAAGACAAGCCCACAUACUGUGUACAUUAAAGUGAUAAUGUUAAAUAGGAAAUGAAGCAAUGCACAUCUCCCUAAAUCUCCAAGCAGGUUCUACAGAUACUGAUAAAUAAAUUGUUUCCACCUGCAACUAAGAAAAUUAUUCUAAUAUGUUCCUUGAUGUUCCUUGUUGAUAUAACCAAGUCAGUUCUUCACCUUUUUUUUAAAAAGGGACAUGUUUUUAGUGUAUAAUCACCAAUAAAAAGAACGUGCUGCUUUAUUUCUCUGCUUGGGGCAGUCAGGUCCCUCAUUAUUAAAAGUCAGAAAAGUCUGCAGAGAUAAAAUACAUUUCUGAGCCAAGAAUUUAGAGGCUGUGAAAUGUUAUUAACGUAUCUGCAAAAGAGGAAAAGUCUCAGUUCACGAGGGUUUUCAGAAUGUUCAUACUGGAAAGGAAAAGUUAGGAGGGAUUCAAUUUAUCCCUGUGUAACUGGUCAGAGCAAGGUUAAAUAAAAAGGUAAGUUAUGAAUGGACUUUGGGCUAUCUCCUUAGGGUCAGCUGUACCCUGAACGCAGCACACACACAAUCUGCAGGGGAAGGAUCCAAAAAGCCAAAAAAUAUGCAUCAGCAAGUAGCAGGCUGAAGCCCCUCUAGGGAGCUCUUCACCCAAAUGUAAACUUGGCAACACCUUAUAAGAUGAAAAAAAAACAAAGUUUUGCCCUUCAGGAUGUCUGUCACAAGCCUGAAGAUUCAACUCUGCAGAUAUCCAUAGAGGACAAUGGGCAAGAGGACCAGAGCAGUUCAAGGCAUGGCUAGCAGGUCUCCCUCCUGUACCUUGAAAUUACUCUCUUCUCUCAGCAGGACCCAGUUAGCCUCCGUAAAGAGCCCAUUUCUAAUUCCCCUGCUCCCAUGGCAGCUGAUGGUGAUGAUAGUCCUUGAAGCUUUCAAUGUGCAUGAAGGAGCACAGGGAGAAAUUAAAGCUCUUUAGGCUGGAACUGCAACUGCAGAAUAUAAUCAAAUCAUCCAACUCUGACAGUUUUUUUCCAGCCUUCAGAGACUCAAGCGAGUGCAGCAGGAUGCAGAUUUCAGAAAUGAAAAUGUCUGCAGGUGGGAGCUAAGCCGGCACAUUUUCAACCCUGUCCUGGCUGGGACAAAUUUCUUUUAGUUUUUGUCCCACUUUGGGCCAGUAAUAGGUUGUGAUUAGGUUCAGCACUCCUUUAAGCAUUUAAUAUUGCAAGAUACUGUAUUUAAAAACAGGAACUGAACAGGACAAAGACAAAAAUUUGGAGUCCUUUUUUUUUGUUCCUCCAGCAGCACAGAAAUCCUUCUUAUUGCAGCAUAGAACCAUAGGAACAGUCCUUGUACUCCUCACCUCUGUCUUGAGAGGAUGGAAAGAAACUUCUAUAUUGGGCAGGUGCUGCUGUGUUAUGGAAGCUGAACAGAAGAGAAAGGAAAAAAGUAAGCCUAUUGUAUACUCACAUCCUAGAUGUGAGUAUAGAUGGAAAGAAGAAAUGGAAAGAAGCUCAUACACACUUACACAGUGAUGCACCUCACAGUGGCUUCAAGAACGCAAAAGACAAAGAAAGAGCUCUGCUUUAAAAGCAAUGCAUUGAUCUCUAUGACAGGAGAAACAAGACUGAAAAAAGUAUCACUAACAGAGCAGAAAAAACACCAGAAUUUACAAGGACACACUUGCAUACGAUAAGCAACAAAGCCUGGUAUCAUGAUGCAGAUGAGGGCUUCUUUUGUGCACACUGAGUAAAGGCCAGGGCUAAAGGGAGCAUUAGGGGCAGAAAAGACUCUAUGUGAUGUUAAUCGUGGAAUCAUGUGAUCUUAUAUAUAUGAGAACAACCCAACCUAAGAAACAGACAGCCCCAUGCUGAAUAGCUCCUCAGUCAAGAUGUCACUUUACAAUCAACUUAGUAUUCUGAGGUGAUAAAUUUUUGCUAGUUCAAUCCAAAAAAAAUGUAUACCUUUUAUUUCAGAGUGAUAGCUCAGUAUCUGCUCACAUCCCAGGAAAAGAAAGGGCUUUGAACCAGUUAUCUGCUCAGAAUUAGUGCCUGGUAAAGCUAUCUGAUUUUGAAAGCAUGGGAGAACAAAACACGUGACAAAUGUUCCAUACUUAUAAAUCAUACCUGAUUUUCUUUGUCCAGAGCCAAAUAUAAAUAAAUAAAUAAAUGCAUGGAGCUUUAAAAAAGUUCUUGUAUUCCUGUCAUUGUCAGAAAUACUGUUUGUGAGCACCCUUCAUCAGAGAGUAGCUCUUCAAAGGACAUUUCAUCUCUGCAUACACACACUUCAUAUUCUGCUGCCAAAGCAAUGUCAGGUUGGGUCAUAUGCCUUCAAGGCAACUUUAACUUGGGCGCCUUUCUUCAAAAGACAUUAAAAAUGAUUUACAUUUUUCUUCCCUAAAUCAGCAUUUUUGGUAUCAUUUGUGUAAGCGCCAAGUUCCCCUCAUUUUUCACCUCUAUCACGGCCUGUCUUUCUCUUCCCCUGUGUGCUCCUGAAUACUGUUUGUGUGCCAAGAAGCCUGUAUUGAUGAAUGCAAAGAUUGUUCUGUUCAGGAAAGGAAACUAUACUGUACAGCCUUCUAUGUAACCUACACUAAAAUUCCAUCUAGAAGUGGAUUAAAUCUUUCAUGCAUAGGAGUCAUGUUUUCUGUAUGAGAUACUUUACCAGUGGCAGCACAUACCCCAGAUUUGGACUUCAGCCAUCUUUUUCUCAUUAUAUCUCUUAAAUCCUAUUAUGCAGUUUAAGACAGGAUGACACAAAAUGGCACACUGUGAUAUCUAUCCUGCCAACAGACAGCUAGAACUUCACUCUUCUUGGAUUUUCUGAGUUUGAACACUCAGGUACUGUAGUGAUUAUUUCAAAAUUUCUACUUUAAAGCUGAUGGAUUAAAUUUUACCACCCUUGUGACUCUUCCAUCAAAGUAAAUUAUUAAACAAUUUAGCUAGCUUGAUUGAGGGCUAUUGGUUUGUUUUUGAGAUGUUUUUUUUCAAAAAAUGUAUUUAAUUUACCAUGCAUUAAAGUGUGCAGUAGAAAUAACAGUACAAUUUCAGAAGAAAUUAUGCAGGGAACAGGCAAGAACUGCACAUUAUUCAUAUCUCACAGAACUUGAUAAUAAGUUAUUAUUCCAUACUCUCAGAGGGACUGACUGAGCCAUGAGAAGUGAUUGCUGAGAUAUUCCAAUGUUUCUGUGGGCACAAUGAUGUGAGUGUUUCAAAUAUGGCUCAGUAAACCAUCUUUGCUUAUGUCACUGUCAAGCACACAACAUGAGGGCACUGAAGUCCUUUCAGACAUUAAUGACUCACACUCUUUAAAUAUGUCACAUGCCCGGACAAAUCUGCCUUUCCAUAGAAGGCACCAAAUACCAUUAGAUGAGGCAGAUGUUCCUAGCCAGUCUAAGAAUGACUGCAAAAUGACCCUCAUCUAUUUUGGAGUUAGCAAAUCAUCUAAGGCCAAUGAGACCUGGGGCAAGAGAUUCAAAGAAGUCAUUAUAUAAUGAUCAGCUUUCUAAUCCAAACAAGGCAAAAAAUGCAGGAGGAUCUAGGCUGACCUAGUGGAAAGAUGAACUGCUGAGAGCUGGGGCAGGUUACUGCCCCACCACCUCUGAAUGGAGAGAACAUGAUGAUCAUGAUAGCCAUCAACCAGCUAGAAACUAGCAGACAAGAUAAUGAAUCAGGUCCAUCCAGUAAGACCCUUUGCAAACAGUAGCAGACAGGAGCAAGGACCAAACUGUGGAGAUGGGUCUGAGGUCUAUCCAGAAAGUCCCAUCAGGAAGCCAAGACAGAAGGAAUCAAAGCUAUCCCAGCAUGUCUCAGGCAGAACUGAAGACCUGUGCUGAAAUGGGCUUUUCAUGCACAGGUGCAGGAGCAGUGGCAGAACAGAAGCCUUUGGGUGCCUUCAGUGCCCUUCCCCUUUAGAAGGACAGUAAAUACCGAGUUUAGUCAUUCUGCUUCUAGGAUAUUUUCUUAGUGUACGUAGACCAAAACACAAGUAGUCACAAACAUCUGGAGUACCUUCAGUCAGUCACAUACCAGCAAUCACAUAAAAUCACAUAUCAGAUAUCAACCACAGUUUCAAGAAAGUGAUUAACACAAAGAAUAAGUUCACUCACUGUUUGCGGUUUUGUUGCAACAAAAUCCUAGAACCACAAAACUCAACAGUACAGUAUUUUACUGAAGAUAACUUGUAACUCACUAAGAAACUAUGCCAGUGCCUUAAUCACCUGAACACUGCUAAUGUCAAAAUUAAAGAGUGAUAUAUAGAGGCUGUUUUAUUCUCAAGUAUUUUUUUCAGUAACAUCAGGAGCUUUACAUAUGAAGUAUGUUCUGAAACAAGAUUAUUAAUGAGUUAAGCUAUCUGAAAAAAAAAAUAUAUAUAUAUCUAUUAGAAAUGUGGACUAUGUCAAGCCCCUUACUGUAAUCAUGGAUGAAAUAACUUCUAUAGCUAGGAGAGCAAUUGUAUCAGAUCACUGCACAGAAAACACUAUCCUUAUGGAGUGUUCAAGUGCUAAGAACCACUCAACGUACAGCCCCUUUUCUGCUUGGGUGCCAUCACUGAGUGCUUUAUAUUGUGCUGUCAAGACUUCCACAUUCAAAGCCUAAAAAUAAGAUGAUAGUGUCUGCUCCACACCAGGGAAGUGUCUAAAUGUGUCUUUCAAUCCCUAUGUUUAGGCAUAUUGAUUUUCAGAAUGUAUUAUUCACCUAUCUUACCAAAUGCUAAACACAAAUAGCUCUAUGCCAUCAAUAGAGAGCAACGUGUUUUGAUAUGUCAUAAAUCCUGCUGUCUGUGAAAGUUUUAUUUUAUCAUAAUCCCUUACCAGUUGUGGUGUAUAUGAUAGCAGCUUCAGACAAAGGCAAAAUGAGCAAUUGCCUUGUGCAAUCGACCUCUGAAGAGUGCAGAUUUCCCAUGAGUUCACAGCCAAGGGCUGAUGCUGCCACCAGGACAGUGCUGCUCAGGGUAGGCAACCCCAUUGCAGUGAUUGUUGCCUCAGGCCUGAGUCUCCACCUGGUUCCUCACCAUGCUGUCUCCAUGCCCUCUGCAGAAGCAGCUACUCUUCUCAGGCGAGAGGACAAAUCCUAUUUUUGAGAAAUCUGCAGUGGGUUCCUGGAGCAGCAGACAAAAACCACAGCACUGAACUUGGUGGAAAUUUAGUGAUACAAAAGCAGUCUUCAGUGAAACCUUGUUGCAUGGAGCUGUAGCCUCAGCAAUAUCUGACUUAGCAAAUUUCUUUACAAGACAAGUCAGCUCAAAAAUGGCAAAACUGCUCUUUCUGCACUGUUUACCUGAAAGAGAGUAGGGAAUAAAUGAAGCAUACACAUGCAUGUGCACAACUUUUGUAUAUUGGGAAAGUUACUUGUCCUUCACUUUCUCAUUUAUUAAGCUCUUAUUAUGACAGGCUCUUGCACACAUGCUUGGACAGUUUUUAGAGGUAUCAUCAAUCUAAGUGCAGUUGAGCUGCUCUCUCACUCUCCAGUUCAGACUGUAUCUGAACAGUUUCUUUUAAUAAAUGUGUGAUACGGCUGUGUGUUAUCAACCUACUGUAACAUUUAAUAGAUAUUUAUAUAUUAUAUAGAGGAUUUAGUCUGGCAAGGUGUGAAGAAGACUCAGCUCUUCUUGAAGUCACAGAGUGCAGAAAGGUUGAGACUUUUGUCCUCCUGGGUACUGUGUUACUUGUGCAACCUGGUGUAGGGAACCUGUGUUGGCAGGGGGGUUGGUCUCGAUGAUCUCUAGAGGUCCCUUCCAACCCCUACAAUUUUGUGAAUUCUGUGAUUCUGUGAAUCCAGAUCUUCUUUUUGGACAUUAAAAAGUCAAGCAGUUUUCUGAAGAAAUACGUGUGCUGUACUGUUGGUUUGUUUUGCCAAUUCCCUCUUCCUAGUGGUCAGCAAAAUUUGCUUUUUCUUUUAAACGCCAAACUUAUCUCAAUAACAAAACCUGCCUCUAAAGAACUUGCUGCAUUUUCUCAGGUUGCUCUGAAUAAAAGUAGCACUGCUUGGCAUAUAAACACCCAUACAGAAAAUAAAAAUGUUGAUGUUCCUUCCCAGACACAAAGUCGGAAAAACUUUGUGAGCUCAAAAUUAACAAAGUACAUAAGAACAAUAGCACAGCCUCCUAAAAUUUACUGGCCUAUUAAACUGAAAUAUGGAGUUACAAUUAAGAUUAAUGGGAGCCAACUAGAAUGAAUUUCAAUCAGUUUUAUUUUGAAAGUAUGUGGGCUCCUUUUCAUCAUUUAUGUGAAAUAAUCAAAUCUAAUCUCAUUAUUGUUGUUUCUUCCCUAUCACAUCAAAUAUAAAGUAUGCACAAAGAAAAGAACAAUGUGUUCACAAGCACAGUGUACUCUUUUUGACUUCUCACAAAAGUACACACUAAAGAAAAUACUCCUCUAUGCAAAUAUUUGAAUAAAAAGUAUCAUAGAACAUAAAACAUAAAUUAGUCUCUAUUAUGUUAUUAAAAAUUAUUAGGCCACUUCUUUAAUAUGGAAUUUAAAGAGUAAUGCUCAAAUUCACAACAUAUAAUGAAGAAAGGGGGGAAAGGGAAAACAAAGAGGAUUGUAAGAAAGUAUUGUUUUAAUUUCUGUUUACAGAACAGGAAGGUGACAUAGCUGAAACACACAUAAUUUUGUUCACUAAGCCAACCCAAUUUGUGAAACCUGCUUACACAUAUGCACCUGAGUUGGGGCAAUCCCAGACAUGAAUAGAGGCUGUCAAAGAGUGGAUAGAGAGCAGCCCUGAGAAGAAGGAUUUAAGGAUACUGGUGGCUGAAAAUUUCAACAUGAGCUUAGCUGCAUCAAAAGAGGAGUGGCCAGUAGGACAGGGGAGGUGAGUGUCCUGCUCUGCCUUGCUCUCAUGAGAUCUCACCUGGAUAUCUGCACAGUGUUCAGCUCUCUGUCCCCCAGCAUGUAGACCUGUUGGAACAGACCUAGAGGAUAGCUGCAAAAAUAAUCAGAGGGCUGCAACAUCUCUCCAAUAAAAUAAAAAAAAAAAAGACUGAGACUUCAACCCAGAGAAGGCUCCAAGGAGACCGUAUAGCAGUUUGCCAGUACUUAAGGACAGCCUACAACAAAGAUGGAAAAAAAAACCUCUUUAUCAUGGAGUAGAGAGGUAGAGAACAAGGAGUAAUGGUUUUAAAAUAAAAGAGAGUAGACUUACAUUAGAUAUAUGAAAAUAUUCACUGUGAAGGUGGUGAGGCAUAGAGGCAGGUUGCCCAGAAAUGUUGUGGAUUUCUCAUUUUUGAGAGUAUUCAAGGUCAGGUUGAAUGGAGCCCCAGGCAACCCAGACUAGAGGAAGGUAUCCCUGCCACAGUAGGGGUUUGGAACCAAGCGAUCUGUAAGAACACUUCUUCCAACUCAAAAUUUCUAUGAUUCUAUAUUUAUACUCUACCUGGUGUUCAGUUACAUCUUGACAUCAAGUAGUGCUGUUGGAUAAUUCAUUAAAGAUUAUAAAAGAUGUUACCAAAAUUCUAUACAAGAGAUGAUGUUCCUUUCUCCAGCUGUCAGUUUAAUAAAAAUAAUAAAAGGUUUUAAUCAAUUCAAUCGGCUACUCAAUGUUUCCUUCAACAAGAGGCAUCCUGCACAUGACAGGUUCAUGGGAGAAAAGAUGACAAAGUCCCUGCGUGGGGAGAGAACAGGAUCCCUGUAAUAGGACACAUCUUCCUAAAAGCAACCCUUCCCUAGACCAUGAAGUGGGAGUCUAGCAGCAAGUGGAAGUUCUCCAGUUCUGAGUGAGAUGAGGUAAGAAGAAGAAAUAGGGGUAGUAUAGCUGUAGAAAGCAGGGGGAAAAAAAAAACAACAAAAACAGAUGGAGCCAGUAGGCUCUAGGGCUGUUGAUAUUGGUGUAUAAUUGCAACUGGCAAUCAUUUUGAACCUCUGCUGCUUUUUUUAAUUAUUCAGUUUUGAUUGCAACUACAAGCCAAAAUCAACACUCCUAAUAAUGGAGCUCAGAGUCUUCUGGUGAAAUAGAAAAACUCCAAAGUAUUUGGAACCUGACCUUACAACCCUGAAAUUUAACAGGAAAACUUAUUAACAAGAAAACCUUUGGGGUCACAGAUUGGGUGCUAAUGUAUUCAUAGCCUCCAACCAUAAGAAUAAUAAGGUUACAGUGAGAACAGUUGGGGUUUUGAGAAAUACAGUGAGCAAAAGCCAGUGUUUACCAAAGCGGCAACCAGUUCCAAAAACCAUCCCACUAUGCAGCCUAGCUUAAAGCAACUGUGUGUCACAAAAUGAAACAAGGCCUGAGUCUUUCUAGAAGAGUGAAUGUCUUUGAAAAAUAUAAGGCUAAAUUCUAACUCACUGAUAACUGUCUCUCAUAUAAAAUAUAACUUGACAGUUUUGUUUUUCAUUUAUAAGUACUGGAGGAUCAAUUUGUGGUACCUUCUAGGUACCACAGAGUCUCACAGAGUAAAGAAAGUACAGUUUGAGCUUGCAAAUGGUUAUAAGAACAUAUCUGAGCACUCAAGUAGAUACCAAGUUAAUUUUUUUUUUUCUGCUGAAUAAUAUGUUUCACUUCACAGUCACUCUGUAGGGAUGAGCUUCAUCUUAAAAAGAAAACAAAAAUCAACAAAGCAAAAAAUUAAAAAAAAAAAGUAAAAUAGAACUGGAAGUGACCUCUAUUGUACCUUUAAUUUUUCUCCCCACUGAGUUUCUCCCAAGUCAUAUGUGACACAGUUUUUGCUCAAGUAUCCCGUAACAUUCCACAGCUUGUGCUAUGGUUUUCCUGUCUUUGCUCUCAUAACAUUAUUCCUAUCUUUCAGCAGAAAGUCUUGUAUGUUCCUAUUAAAUCCUGUUAUCUCUUGUUCUACCAACUGAACAUGAAGAGAACAGUUUCCUCUCCCCCCUAAGUUGUACAAGUCUGUUAUAUUUCCCUCCAAUAUUCUCCUUUCUCUGUUUAACAUUCCCCAUUUUCUCAAGCCUUUCCACUUCAGACAUGUUUUCUACUCCUCCUUGUUCUGUUUUCAGUAAUGUCUCCAGCUGAACCACAUCUUUCUCAGAAGUUAGUUCCCAAAACUGGAUGUAAUACUCCCAGUGAGCCUUUAACUCAAAACUUAGAAGAUAAUUUCACAUUAUCUACAAACAAUACACUUAUGUAACUAUCCUAUUAUCUCAUAGCAAAAUCCCAUUUUUUAAUCUAGUUCAAUUUGUGAUUCACUUAGACCCAAAAUUCCUGUAUAAGCUUCAUACCAUAAAUAUCCUCUUACUGUACUGUGUUGCGCUGUCUUACACUGCAUCUUUAACUGUUCAAACUCAUUCUAAAGUCUAAUUCUGUCUUACAGUGUGCUCCUUAAAUGAUGGCAUCACCCAAAAAUUCAUGAAAAUAUUGAAAAGUGUAACACCUGGCCAACUGGUAGUGAGGUUUUGGUAUCUAUUUUCUAAAUACAUUUUUCCAAAUAUUUUCACUCUAGUCUUAUGCUAGUUAAAUCUAUAGAAGAAACCUUAGCUAGUUCACAAAAUGUGAUAAGAGAUAGUAUCAACAAUUAUCAGGAGAAAACACUAUGUCAUUUCCUGUUUCUUUACUGUCCAUGAAGGCAGGUAUUUAGUUACAGAAAGAAAUUAGGUGAUUGACUUAAUUUGUUCUUAGCAAAUCUAUGAUUGUUGCUAACUUCUUCCUUUGUUAUAUUCCAUGUGUCUAUCAUUGCUUUGUUAUAUUCCAUGUGUCUAUCAUAUGUCUAGAGUGGACACUCUAGUUCAAACAUCAAAGGUUUCUUUGAUUUUGGUUUUAAAGAACCACUCUACAACUCUUAGUUCCUCAUGCCAUUCCUUUUCAAAGGCAGACUUCUGUUUUCUCCUUACCACUCUUCUGGAAGCCUGCCCAUGCUACAAGAAUUAUCACUGAUAUUUAUAAUAUUUCUUCUUCCAAGCUUCACGUAACAGUGAUUUUCCUAAGUCUUCAAACCUGUUUUCUCCCUGAAAGACAUCCUAUAUCUAAGUACUCUCUAGUUGGCAUACCUCUUUUUUCCUUACUGCUUCUAAGGUUAACUUUGUUAAAUUUAAGAGCACAGAUGACCAUUCUAGUGAAGACACCAAAAUCAAUCAAACAAACAAACAUAGUAUGUCAAGCUUCUCAACCUCAUCUUUUGGCAGCUUGUUAGUUAUUAAUUUAAUAGUGAAUCCAGUUUUGUCUUUGGUCUUUCUCUUGCUUCUGACAGAGUUACAGAAUGCCUUCUUGCUAAUCUUUAUGUCUCCUGUUACUUUAAUGUGGUGAUUAUUGAGAAUGUGAUUACUAACAGCAUUAAUUCUAAUAGCUGCUAUAAAACAUACAAGGUAUGUUUUAGCACCAUCGAGUGCAACUCUGGUCAGCUGGAAUGAUUAGAUGCACAGGGGUGUGCCUUGCAACAACCACCAAUGUUUAGUGGUGCACAAGGGAUGGCAGUAAGCUGGUUGCUGUAUAUGUUCACAAGAUGAAUGAGAAUUGGCAUCAUGUUAUGUGCCAAGAGGAAGCACCGUCAGACAGAUCAGAAGAGCAGUCAACACUCUGAUGUAUGCUGCAACAUAGUCUCUCUCUUUCUCCUCCAGUCAGACAUACAGGAGUUCAAAUUUAAGGCUGAAAAGCGUAAAAUUCUGCAUUCAGUGGGAUUACUGCACCUUGUGAGACAUGCCACCCUGUUGUAACUACCUGCAGCUGCCCUUGCUGUGCUGGAGCUGAAUGAGAGCACUGUUAGCCCACUUCUGCCCUAAGCUCCAGGCAGACUGAGAGAUGGACUGACUGGCUCCAUUUCUCUCAGUUCUCUUGUCAGUUUCUCUGUCUGUAAGCAAAGGAAAAUCUCCCUCCUUCAUGCUUCUCCCUUUCUCCAAGCAAUGCAAUUGGAGCUGACUUAUAGCAACUAACUCUUUGCUCUGAUUGCAUAAUAAUGAAAGGAUGGGAAACAAAGAAUAGCAACUUUUGAGAUUAAUCCCCCUUCUGUUCUCAGCUGUCAGACUUAGUUAUUCUUUCCUUUUUUCAGCUAAAUCAGGUCAUUAUACUACGAAUCUUUACUCUGAAUGAAAGAUUAAACUCAGGUAUUUUAUUUUCAUCAGGGCAUAAUAUUCAGCACAGAAUAAUUGGCUAUAGUUUCAUCUGGAUAUUUGUAUAGGGUCUCCUAUCAAAUUCCACUAAACCCUUACUGACCCCAUCCUUUUUGUUGAAUUCCUUAGGUUCUUACUGUAGAAGAGUCCUGGCAAACAGGCUUUUGCACUCAAUUAUACCUAUCUCCACAUCUGAGAUGUCAUGUUUUCACGAAGCCUCUUUAAACAAUCAAGAGAAUUAAAAGGUCUUCAGGGCUGCUUUGUAAUAAAAAUAGUAAUAGCAAAGAAAAAAUCCAUAACCCAAGUGUUUGUCCUUGACAUAGUCAUUAUUUUCUCCACAAUGAGAAAAGAAAGAGGAAGAAAAAAAAAAAAAAAGAAGCAGGAAAUAAGAAAAGGC